GUCAAGUCCUCAUGGCCUUUAUGUCCAGGGCCACACACGUGCUACAAUGGCGUCGACAAAGCGAACCAAGACCGCGAGGUGGUGGAAAUCGCAGAAAUGACGCCCCAGUUCGGAUCGGAGGCUGCAACUCGCCUCCGUGAAGUUGGAAUCGCUAGUAAUCGCGGAUCAGCUACGCCGCGGUGAAUGUGUUCCUGAGCCUU
This 200-nucleotide ribosomal RNA is filed under the name uncultured organism. RNAcentral's name for it is "partial small subunit ribosomal RNA". It matches the Rfam family "Bacterial small subunit ribosomal RNA", at positions 1184 to 1382 of the family's 1533-position model. The record is from RNAcentral.